GAUCCGCUCAGUUGAAUAGAGCAUCCCGCUCGUCGAGCGGGACGGUCAGAGGUUCGAAUCCUCUCGCGAUCA
This 72-nucleotide transfer RNA is filed under the name Tamlana crocina. RNAcentral describes it as "tRNA-OTHER". It matches the Rfam family "tRNA". Rfam says of the family: Transfer RNA (tRNA) molecules are approximately 80 nucleotides in length. Their secondary structure includes four short double-helical elements and three loops (D, anti-codon, and T loops). Further hydrogen bonds mediate the characteristic L-shaped molecular structure. tRNAs have two regions of fundamental functional importance: the anti-codon, which is responsible for specific mRNA codon recognition, and the 3' end, to which the tRNAs corresponding amino acid is attached (by aminoacyl-tRNA synthetases). tRNAs cope with the degeneracy of the genetic code in two manners: having more than one tRNA (with a specific anti-codon) for a particular amino acid; and 'wobble' base-pairing, i.e. permitting non-standard base-pairing at the 3rd anti-codon position. The record is from RNAcentral. RNAcentral also lists the same sequence under 1 other name. Lineage: Bacteria; Pseudomonadati; Bacteroidota; Flavobacteriia; Flavobacteriales; Flavobacteriaceae.